GGAGCAGGGCAAGCGUUUAGGCAGGCUGGGGAGGGGUGAGGGGGAUACCCAGGGACGCACCCUCCCGUUUCUCAUUCGUCUCUAGCUGCAGUCAGAAGCAGUGUAUGCACUGCUAAGGCCAGGGCCCCUGGAGUCAAACUGCCUUCGCGGAAACCCUUGGCCUCCCCUUACCCAGCAGUGGGCCCUGGGGGCUCACUAAGUUUCCCAUCUCUAAAAUGGGAAUAGUAAUACUUACCUCAUUGGGUCACCGUGGGGACUCGGUGAACGUACAUAAGGCACUGAGGACGGUUGUAAGCACAUGAUAAGCACAAUAAAAAUGUUAGCUCUCGGCAAGACGACUCACCAGCACCCUACCUGGAUAGAAGAGUUUAGGUGAGAAUUUCAGGAUGAUUCAUCAUACUCCUCGCCUAUUCACUCACCCCACAAUAUCCUUUCAGAGUAACAACUGCCGUUUAUUGGCAGUUAUGCCAGGCAGUAUGCGAAACCUGUGAUUUCCAUGAUCUCAAUUAAUCCGCAGAUCAACCCUGUGAAGUAGGUACUAUUAUUGUUCCUCUCUCAUGGUUGAGGCUUACACAAGAUUAAGUCAUUUAUCCCAGGUCACGCAGUUAAUGACAGAAGUGCGUCCCACGCUCAUUCCUGUCUGGUGCCAAAGAUGAAGCUUUUUACUACUACUCAAUAUUCUACCUCCUCUUGAAGCCAGUUAAAAACAACAAACACAGCCCCUCAACAAACACAGGCUCCCAAAGGAGCCACAGGCAUCAGCCGUGCUCACUGUAAUUCUACAGGACCCACCCCUUACAGAAACCAUGGUCUGUAGAGUGAGAUUUCUUUCUGCUCUUACGUGGCACAAAAGAGAGAAUUUUACAGAUGUCUCCCUGCUCCCCUGCAAAGUGCUUUGACUGACACAGAGGCCUCUACACAUUAAAGCUAAGUUAGCCAUGGAGCCUUUAAGGGCCACCUUCCCCUCUUCCUGUUUCUUCUGAACCUCAAGGCCACCCAUCUGGGCAGGCGGGGGACCUGCAUCUCAGGCAUGUGCGUUAACUUAACUUCUGGGCCAUCCCGGAUGUAAUGCAAGGGCUCAGUGACUCAGGCCAGUCUAUCUGGGAUUUGUCCUCUCUUGGCAUGUGAGAGUCUGUGCAGCAUUGACAUCUUUUGGCCAUGAAUGAAACAACAGGAACCAACCUACAAAUGCAGAAUCCCAGAAAGUCAGGGCCGGAAGAGGCUGUAGGAAGUUAAAAAACGAAACUUCACCAAGGGAAGGGUCUUGAUGAGGAUCACAUUGAGAGGAAGGAAGGUGACCAGAUUUAAGCCCUUUUUUAACUUCCAUACCUUCCUGGUACCCUCUGCUCCCAGAGGUGCUGAGCUGGGAGGGGUGGGAGUGGGCAGCCAGGUUGCUAAGCUUGUGCAUUCAGUCAGGUGUCUCUUUCUUCCCCUCCCCAGCAUGUGAUUAUCCUCUAAAACAAGACUUCUCAACCUCAGCAUAGCCCAGACAUUUAGGGUUGGAUCAUUCCUUGUUGUGGCAGCGGUCCUGUGCAUUGUCUGAUGCUGAGCACAAUAUUUGUCCACUACCCACCACCCACUGGUUUCCAGUAACACUUCCUUCUCCCACUCUGUUGCAUGACAACCAAAAAUGUCUUCAAACAUCAUGAAAUAUCUCCUGGGGGACAAAAUUUCUCCCCUCUCUCCCUUCUGUUGAGAACCACUACUCCAAAAGCAGACUCCUUCCUCCUUCCCUUCCUGGAACACAUCUUAAGAGCUUGGUAUAUGCCAUGCUUUGCUGGCUCAUGAAUCAAGCCCUGGCUCUGUCCUUAAACAAUUCAGAGUCUAGCUGAGGAGACAAGGCCCACACAGGUGGCAAAGAUGGGAAGCCUCUCCACAGAGACAAGGGCGAGGUGCCCAAAGGAGCACAGGGGCAGAUGCCUCACUGUCUGGGGAGAUGUGAGGAAGCGUCACAGAAGGACAGAUGGCAAUUUCUCAGGCAGGCAAGGUGGGUAAAGGACAUUCCAGGCAGAAGAAAUGGAAUGUACAAAGGUAAAGAGUUGUGAAGUGUGAAGUUUUGGGGAAAAAUAUUUUAGUAUGACUGUACUCCAGAGUGCACAUGAGGAGAGAUUAAGGAAAGGGGCUGGAGAGUCAGGCAGCACAAGUUGAUGAUAGUGUUGUUGGUGGUGGUGAUGAUGGUGGUGAUGAUGAAGAUGAUGAUGGUGGUGGUGACGAUGGUGGCUAACACAUAUAGAGCACUUAGCGUAUGCCAGACAUUGUUCCAAGUAUUUCUCAUACAUUAUCUCUUAAUUUUCAUGGCAAUCCUUUGAGGAAGGUGCUAUCAUUACCUCAGUUUACAUAUGGGAAAAAUGUUGCAGAGAGAUGAAGUAACAUGCCAAAGUCACAUAGCUUGUGAAGGUUCCUUGUGAGCCCUGAGAAAUUUGGCUAUGGAGAGCUAAGGGUGUUUGUUUGUUUUUGAGAUAGAGUCUCACUCUGUCGCCCAGGCUAGAGUGCACUGGUGUGAUGUUGGCUCACCGCAACCUCCGCCUCCCAGGUUCAAUCUCCUGCCUCAGCCUCCUGAGUAGCAGGGAUUACAGGUGUGUGCCACCAUGCCUGGCUAAUUUUUGUAUUUUUAGUGGAGAUGGGGUUUCACCAUGUUGGCCAGGCUGGUCUCGAACUCCUAAGCUCAGAUGAUCCACCUGCCUCAGCCUCCCAAAGUGCUGGGAUUACAGGCGUGAGCCACCUCACCUGGCCGAGCCAAGGAUCUUAAGUAGAGCAGCAACAUGAUCAGUGUUUCAGUUAUUUUUAGCUGUAUAAUAAACCACCAAAAACGUACUUGCCUACCACCAGCGUUUUAUGAUAGCUCAUGAUUCUGUGGGUUGGCUGGGGCUCAGCUGGGUUGUUCUUCCACUAGUCUGGCUUUUGCAGUGGCAGUAACAUGGUGGAUGGGGAUGCUAGUUGGGGCUGGAUGUCUACUAUCUUGAAGUUUCUUUUCUUUUCUUUUCUUUUUUUUUUUUUUUUUGGGACGGAGUCUCGCUCUGCCACCAGGCUGGAGUGCAGUGGCGCGAUCUUGGCUCACUGCAGUCUCCGCCUCUCGAGUUCAAGCAAUUCUCCUGCCUCAGACUCCCGUGUAGCUGGGACUACAGGCAUGCACCAGCAUGCCCAGCUAAUUUUUUGUAUUUUAGUAGAGACAGGGUUUCACUGUGUUGGCCAGGAUGAUCUUGAUCUCCUGACCUCGUGAUCCAUCCGGCUCGGCCUCCCAAAGUGCUGUGAUUACAGGUGUGAGCCACCAUGCCCAGCCAUCUAUUUUCUUUUUUUUUUUUUUUUUUUGAGAUGGAGUCUCACUCUGUCACCCAGGCUGGAGUGCAGUGGCAUGAUCUCAGCUUACUGCAACUUCUGCCUCCCUGGUUCAAGCGAUUCUCCCACUUCAGCCUCCCGAGUAGCCAGGAUUACAGGUACCCACCACCACGC
Molecule: long non-coding RNA, 3450 nt
Filed under: Homo sapiens (human)
Lineage: Eukaryota; Metazoa; Chordata; Mammalia; Primates; Hominidae
Description: non-protein coding lnc-LHFPL4-4:1
Source: RNAcentral